CAUUAAGAAGCUUGCAUAGCAACAGCCCUUUAAGCUGUAGAAGGAAACCUCCCUUAAUGU
This 60-nucleotide transfer RNA is filed under the name Rieppeleon kerstenii. RNAcentral describes it as "tRNA-Lys". The record is from RNAcentral. Lineage: Eukaryota; Metazoa; Chordata; Lepidosauria; Squamata; Chamaeleonidae.